Molecule: transfer RNA, 84 nt
Filed under: Elusimicrobiota bacterium
Lineage: Bacteria; Pseudomonadati; Elusimicrobiota
Description: Elusimicrobia bacterium (groundwater metagenome) tRNA-Leu
Rfam family: tRNA
About the family: Transfer RNA (tRNA) molecules are approximately 80 nucleotides in length. Their secondary structure includes four short double-helical elements and three loops (D, anti-codon, and T loops). Further hydrogen bonds mediate the characteristic L-shaped molecular structure. tRNAs have two regions of fundamental functional importance: the anti-codon, which is responsible for specific mRNA codon recognition, and the 3' end, to which the tRNAs corresponding amino acid is attached (by aminoacyl-tRNA synthetases). tRNAs cope with the degeneracy of the genetic code in two manners: having more than one tRNA (with a specific anti-codon) for a particular amino acid; and 'wobble' base-pairing, i.e. permitting non-standard base-pairing at the 3rd anti-codon position.
Source: RNAcentral
GGGCAGGUGGUGGAACUGGCAGACACAACGGACUUAAAAUCCGUCGGCCGCAAGGCCAUGCGGGUUCGAAUCCCGCCCCGCCCA